RNAcentral lists this ribosomal RNA (483 nucleotides) under uncultured bacterium. RNAcentral describes it as "partial 16S ribosomal RNA". It matches the Rfam family "Bacterial small subunit ribosomal RNA", at positions 30 to 507 of the family's 1533-position model. The record is from RNAcentral.
AUUGAACGCUGGCGGCAGGCCUAACACAUGCAAGUCGAGCGGAUGAAGGGAGCUUGCUCCUGGAUUCAGCGGCGGACGGGUGAGUAAUGCCUAGGAAUCUGCCGGGUAGUGGGGGAUAACGUCCGGAAACGGGCGCUAAUACCGCAGACGUCCUGAGGGAGAAAGUGGGGGAUCUUCGGACCUCACGCUAUCAGAUGAGCCUAGGUCGGAUUAGCUAGUUGGUGGGGUAAGGCCUACCAAGGCGACGAUUCGUAACUGGUCUGAGAGGAUGAUCAGUCACACUGGAACUGAGACACGGUCAAGACUACUACGGGAGGCAGCAGUGGGGAAUAUUGGACAAUGGGCGGAAGCCUGAUCCAGCCAUGCCGCGUGUGUGAAGAAGGUCUUCGGAUUGUAAAGCACUUUAAGUUGGGAGGAAGGGCAGUAAGUUAAUACCUUGCUGUUUUGACGUUACCAGCAGAAUAAGCACCGGCUAACUUCGUG